GACGAACCGUGCGAACGUUGUUCGGAUUCACUGGGCUUAAAGGGCGCGUAGGCGGAUGGUCAAGUCGGGGGUGAAAUCUUUCAGCUUAACUGGAAAAGUGCCUCCGAUACUGAUCGUCUCGAGGGAGGUAGGGGCAUGUGGAACUUCCGGUGGAGCGGUGAAAUGCGUAGAUAUCGGGAGGAACACCUGUGGCGAAAGCGGCUCACUGGACCACAACUGACGCUGAUGCACGAAAGCUAGGGGAGCAAACAGG
This 253-nucleotide ribosomal RNA is filed under the name uncultured bacterium. Its description in RNAcentral is "partial 16S ribosomal RNA". It matches the Rfam family "Bacterial small subunit ribosomal RNA", at positions 524 to 776 of the family's 1533-position model. The record is from RNAcentral.